This is a long non-coding RNA of Oreochromis niloticus (Nile tilapia), 2314 nucleotides long. RefSeq lists it as uncharacterized. Lineage: Eukaryota; Metazoa; Chordata; Actinopteri; Cichliformes; Cichlidae. The record is from RefSeq and is a predicted model, not a curated record. The transcript has 4 exons.
CUUUAGACUCUUAGCUGAAGAAGUGUCUUUAGAAUAAAUCUCUUGACACAAACUAAAAACUAAAACCAGAUAUGAUUUUCUUUAGUAAAACUAAUUGAAAAAAAAUUGUAAACUUAAAAAAACCCCCCAAAAUAUAGAGGGGAAUAUCCUCAGUUUUAGUGUUGGUAAAAAUAAUUAUUGAGAGAUGUGCUUAUUGAGACUCUGGAUGUCUAUAAUACUAUGAAACAUUAGAUAACUGCUUUCAAAAAGUUGUUUCUUAUCGUAAUACCUGUACUAAUAUUCCUCAAUCUUUGAUUCCUAAACAAUAAAAACUAAAAAAAAAAUAAAAUAAACUUUUAAAAGUGAAAAUAAUAAAAAGAAACUAAUUAGAAAAUACAAAACUAUAAUAAUUCUGUUUAGCAGAUCAUUUUGACCAUGCAUACAUUCCACCAAUUCACUGUAUUGCUGCCAUGCGAUUGGCAGAUUUGAUAUUUACCUAAUAAAGUGGCUGGUGAGUGUAAAAAUGAAAAAGAUGCACAUCAGAAGCAAAGUAAGUGAAAUCAAGCAAGAACUAAUAUAAUGAAUACAAUUUAAUAAACUGUUACAAUCUUUGGCAUAUCCACAGCAACAUUAAUUAUGUAAUAUAUUCUUUAAUACUGAGCACAAGCAGCAGCUCAAUAAAGCCAUGAGAACAAGCAAAGUAAAAUACAAAAAUAUUUUUUAGUCGGUCUCAUGAUAUAAUGUGUUGAUACUUGUAUCAGACAUAUUGAGAAACAUAUUUCUUAACCAUUCUAACAGUCGCUCUUGAAGUAAAACAAUAAUUGCUAUUUUUAAUGACUUGCCAUUGUCUUCUCGGUGGUUUUGGUCACGAUUACAGUUUGACAAGGUGUUUGCUAAUCCCUCAGUAGGUUUAUUGUGUAAACUUGACUGAAUAGCUUGAGUCAUAACAACAGUUCAUUUCCUGAAACACAAGAAGUCAGACAUUUAGAAACCUGAUUUGUAAUCUUUCCAUUACGUUAAUAUUUCAGUCUAAGAAAAUGUAUUAAUCUGAUGGAGGUGAUAAAAGAAGUGCAACAUAUUCACAUGAUAAAGUUAAUGAUGAUAUUUUAGAAAAAAACAACAAGAACAACUUAAUUCCAGUCAUAAUGAAUGACCUUUAAUAUUCUACACACGUCAUGUUCUCAACAAAUAAAGACAAAAAUUAUUGUCUCAUAAGCAAUAGUUAUCAUAUUUCAGUUUAAUUUCAUAAUUUGCUUAGGGAUUAAAAAGUAUUCUUAUUCGGAUUGUUUACCAUUCAUUUAUUUUUUCAUUUACAUACUGAACAAGUAGAUUUUAAUUCACAGCAUACCUUUUUAAACAUGCUUGAGUCCAUACUGUACUGCUCUAAUUUCAAACAACCUCUGAAUAUAGUUUGGCAGUAGAUUACUCUGUGCUUUUCUUCAUUUUUAAUGCUAUUUUCAGCACAAAAAUGUGCAAUUUUAGGGUGAGCUAUUUAAUUACUGACUGACAGUUUGGCUGCUAAUAAUCUGAUACAGUUAUAAUUCAUAUAUCAUGUUUUUGGGGGGUUUUAAAUUUUUUUUUUUUCUGUCUGGGUGCUGACAGGAUCAUUAUGUGGUUUGUCUCUAAUCAUUAGUCACACCUUGUGGAGGUGGAACAUUUCUUAACAAAGGUGCUCUGGUAGGUGUAUAUAAGAAGAGCUCAACUUUCCGAGUAUCACUACAACAACUUCUUUCACUCUGAGACAGACUGCUGCAGCUUUGAAGACUAGACGUACGAACACUGAAACCAUGCUGAAGGUAGCAUUUGUGCUUGGAUGCCUCCUGAGCCUCACUCUGACUCAACCUUUGGGUAUGGCGCGCAAAAGACUUGUGCGCUCAAGCUCCGAAUCUAACUCUGGAUCAGGGGAAGCCAAUCAACAGUUAAACAAUCAACAGCUGCAGCUACUCAUACAAUUACUACUUGCCAGCUUAGCAACAACAACCACUACUACAGCUGCAACCACCACAACAGCUGCAACCACCCCUGCUCCGGCUACAACUGGUUAAAAACUGACAUUUAGCUAUUGAAUGAAAGUCAGCAUACAGUGAAACUGUCAAUUUGUGAUAUUUUAAUGAGAAUACAUAGUAGUGUCUACUAAAUAAAAUUUAUGAAUAGAAAAUGUGUGUUUUUCUGUUUGUAAGAAAUACAAGUACCUCAGCUUACCAUUAUAUUCCCCUUUCAAUACAGAGUUUACAUCACACUAUAUGUAAUUAAAGCAGCUAUUUAGGUGCUUACUAACGAACACUGUUGAUCUAAAAUAGAGUUUAAAUUAUGGUACAUCAAGAAUAUUACAUAA